This is a long non-coding RNA of Hibiscus syriacus, 318 nucleotides long. RefSeq lists it as uncharacterized. The transcript has 4 exons. The record is from RefSeq and is a predicted model, not a curated record. Lineage: Eukaryota; Viridiplantae; Streptophyta; Magnoliopsida; Malvales; Malvaceae.
AGAAAAGAUGCAAAGAAUUAUUCAUGUUCUUCUCCUUUAAGCCAACGGGUAAUAGAAAGGCAAGAUCGCACAUAUUCAUGGAAAAUGGUCAAAGGAUCGGACUCAAGCUCGAAUUUAGGAAAUUAAGGUUGCAUGACUUAAUGCACGAUGUUAGGAAGGCUUGAGGUUUAGGUUUCGGGGGUCACAAUGGGACCAUGAUGUUAUGAGAGUCUUAGUGGGAGUACCAGAGUACAAUGAUGAGGACUUUGAGUGGUCAUGUAGGGAUUAUAAAUUUAUUCGAGUUGGUUGUAAAUUGUUCAUUACAUAUUUUGUUUUCAA